This 198-nucleotide ribosomal RNA is filed under the name Triticum aestivum (bread wheat). RNAcentral describes it as "partial small subunit ribosomal RNA". The record is from RNAcentral. Lineage: Eukaryota; Viridiplantae; Streptophyta; Magnoliopsida; Poales; Poaceae.
AUGGAGGAUCCCACUCCAGUAUCUGCUUUGAUUCAUGCAACUAUUAUGGUCACUACUGGUGCUUUCAAGAUAGAAAGAAGCUAUGAUGUCAUUCCUUGCGGCAACCACUGGAAUAUUACAGAACGAUCUAAAAAGGGUCAUAGCUUAUUCAACUUGUAGUCAAUUAGGGUAUUUGAACUUUGCUUGCGGCAUCUCUAA